Molecule: long non-coding RNA, 200 nt
Filed under: Gossypium barbadense (sea-island cotton)
Lineage: Eukaryota; Viridiplantae; Streptophyta; Magnoliopsida; Malvales; Malvaceae
Description: long non-coding RNA (GBAR_LNC002573)
Source: RNAcentral
GAAGUGGGAAAGAAAGAAUAAAAAAGAAAAAUAAAAAUAAAAAGAGAAACUAGAAUUUGAAAGCUUGGAAUUUAAAUAAGUAAGUUAAUUAAGUCUUUUUCUUUUAAUUUUGAUGUUUUAGAAGUUUUAGAAUAAAGUUUUGCAGAAAUUAAGAUGAGAUUUUGGAAGUUCUUAGGUUUUUGAGUAUAGUUCAUGUUGAA